CGGUCCAGUAGGCGAGUUCGGCCUGCCAGGCGGGGUCCGCGGCCUCGCUGCGCUGCGCGUGUUCGGUGGCGGCGGCCAGUUCGAGGACCUGGUCGGGUCGC
RNAcentral lists this transfer RNA (101 nucleotides) under Actinoplanes xinjiangensis. RNAcentral's name for it is "tRNA-Ala". The record is from RNAcentral. Lineage: Bacteria; Bacillati; Actinomycetota; Actinomycetes; Micromonosporales; Micromonosporaceae.